This 295-nucleotide unclassified non-coding RNA is filed under the name Hevea brasiliensis (rubber tree). Lineage: Eukaryota; Viridiplantae; Streptophyta; Magnoliopsida; Malpighiales; Euphorbiaceae. The record is from RNAcentral.
CUUUUUUUUUUUUUUUUUUUUAAUCAUUUUAAUAUUUGUUUCAGUCGACAGCUUUAAAAACUAUGUUUCUAUAAUGAUUAUAAGGUGUAAGUUAGCUGAUAGUAGUAAAUAAGCAUUUAACUAAUAUAUAUAAAUAAAUAUUAAAUAAGUAUAAUUUAACUAAACCUUUAAAACUUGUCAUAAACCAACAAAAAUCAAAGAGAAAUAGAUUCAUCUUCAGGAGCCACACAAAGUCAGAAUACAUUUUUUUUUCUUUUGCAAUUCAAAAUUUUUUAAAAGCAUUAAACUAUUAAAA